Molecule: ribosomal RNA, 254 nt
Filed under: uncultured bacterium
Lineage: Bacteria
Description: partial 16S ribosomal RNA
Rfam family: Bacterial small subunit ribosomal RNA
Source: RNAcentral
UACGUAGGCAGCAAGCGUUGUUCGGAGUUACUGGGCGUAAAGGGUGUGUAGGCGGUUGUUUAAGUUUGGUGUGAAAUCUCCCGGCUCAACUGGGAGGGUGCGCCGAAUACUGAAUGACUAGAGUGCGGGAGAGGAAAGUGGAAUUCCUGGUGUAGCGGUGAAAUGCGUAGAUAUCAGGAGGAACACCGGUGGUGUAGACGGCUUUCUGGACCGUAACUGACGCUGAGACACGAAAGCGUGGGGUAGCAAACAGG